GAUGAACGCUAGCGGCAGGCUUAACACAUGCAAGUCGAGGGGCAGCAUGAUCGAACUUUCGGGUUUGAUUGAUGGCGACCGGCGCAAGGGUGCGUAACGCGUGAGCAACUUGCCCUCAUCAGGGGAAUAACCGUUGGAAACGACGACUAAUACCCCAUGGCAUCAUAAGGAGGCAUCUCCAUAUGAUUAAAGAAUUUCGGAAACGGAUAGGCUCGCGUGACAUUAGAUAGAUGGCGGGGUAACGGCCCACCAUGUCUACGAUGUCUAGGGGUUCUGAGAGGAAGGUCCCCCANACUGGAACUGAGACACGGUCCAGACUCCUACGGGAGGCAGCAGUGAGGAAUAUUGGUCAAUGGUCGAAGGACUGAACCAGCCAUGCCGCGUGAAGGUGACGGCCCUAUGGGGUCUUAAACUUCUUUUGCAAGGGAGCAAUAAGGUCUACGUGUAGACCGAUGAGAGUACCUUGCGAAUAAGCAUCGGCUAACUCCGUG
Molecule: ribosomal RNA, 491 nt
Filed under: uncultured bacterium
Lineage: Bacteria
Description: bacterial SSU rRNA
Rfam family: Bacterial small subunit ribosomal RNA
Source: RNAcentral